RNAcentral lists this non-coding RNA (31 nucleotides) under Mus musculus (house mouse). Lineage: Eukaryota; Metazoa; Chordata; Mammalia; Rodentia; Muridae. The record is from RNAcentral.
GNGUAGAUGGAACAGGUGCAGAAGGACAGAU